UCCCUGGUGGCUUAGAUGGUAAAGAAUCUGCCUCCAAUGCAGGAGACCCAAGUUCAAUACCUGGGUCGGGAA
This is a transfer RNA of Ovis aries (sheep), 72 nucleotides long. It matches the Rfam family "tRNA". From Rfam's summary of the family: Transfer RNA (tRNA) molecules are approximately 80 nucleotides in length. Their secondary structure includes four short double-helical elements and three loops (D, anti-codon, and T loops). The record is from Rfam. NCBI's taxonomy places the organism in Eukaryota, Metazoa, Chordata, Mammalia, Artiodactyla, Bovidae.